RNAcentral lists this ribosomal RNA (1242 nucleotides) under metagenome. RNAcentral describes it as "bacterial LSU rRNA". It matches the Rfam family "Bacterial large subunit ribosomal RNA", at positions 1564 to 2815 of the family's 2925-position model. The record is from RNAcentral.
UGAGUACGAGACGCUAAGGCGUUGAAGUAGUGGAUGUCAUACUUCCAAGAAAAGCUUGCACUGUCAUAAAUAAAGAAUGCCUGUACCAUAACCGACACAGGUGGGUAGGUAGAGUAUACUAAGGGGCGCGAGAUAACUCUCUCUAAGGAACUCGGCAAAAUGACUCCGUAACUUCGGGAGAAGGAGUGCCUUAUUCGUAAGGCUGCAAUAACAAGAUCCAAGCAACUGUUUAUCAAAAACACAGGUCUCCGCUAAGUCGUAAGACGAUGUAUGGGGGCUGACGCCUGCCCAGUGCCAGAAGGUUAAAGAAGUCGGUUAGCAUUAGCGAAGCUGGUAACUGAAGCCCUGGUGAACGGCGGCCGUAACAAUAACGGUCCUAAGGUAGCGAAAUUCCUUGUCGGGUAAGUUCCGACCCGCACGAAAGGCGUAAUGAUUUGGAUACUGUCUCGGAGAGGGGCUCGGUGAAAUAGACUUGUCUGUGAAGAUGCGGACUACCUGCACCAGGACAGAAAGACCCUAUGAAGCUUUACUGUAACUUGAAAUUGAAAUUGGACUUUAUUCGCGCAGUAUAGGUGGGAGGCGUUGAUUAUAAUCUUGCGGGAUUAUUGGAGCCAUCAGUGAGAUACCACUCUUGUAAUGUUAGAUUUCUAACUUUGAAUCAUUAUCUGGUCAAAGAACAGUUUCAGGCGGGCAGUUUGACUGGGGCGGUCGCCUCCUAAACGGUAACGGAGGCGUACAAAGGUUUCCUCUGAACGGGUAGAAAUCGUAUCUAGAGUGUAAAGGCAUAAGGAAGCUUGACUGUGAGACCUACAAGUCGAGCAGGGACGAAAGUCGGUCUUAGUGAUCUGACGGUACUGAGUGGAAAGGCCGUCACUCAACGGAUAAAAGUUACUCUAAGGAUAACAGGCUGAUCUCCCCCAAGAGUUCACAUCGACGGGGAGGUUUGGCACCUUGAUGUCGGCUCAUCGCAUCCUGGGGCGGUAGUACGUCCCAAGGGUUGGGCUGUUCGCCCAUGAAAGCGGUACGCGAGCUGGGUUCAGAACGUCGUGAGACAGUUCGGUCCAUAUCCGGUGUAGGCGUUAGAAUAUUGAGAGGAGCCUUCUUUAGUACGAGAGGACCGAGAAGGACAUACCUCUGGUGUACCAGUUAUCGUGCCAACGGUAAACGCUGGGUAGCUAUGUAUGGAGUGGAUAACCGCUGAAAGCAUCUAAGUGGGAAGCCCACCUCAAGAUAAGUAUUCUC